AGUGCGGGUAGCACACUGGACUUGCACUCCGGAGGUUCCGGGUUCGAUUCCCGG
RNAcentral lists this transfer RNA (54 nucleotides) under Diaphorina citri (Asian citrus psyllid). It matches the Rfam family "tRNA", at positions 9 to 63 of the family's 71-position model. Rfam says of the family: Transfer RNA (tRNA) molecules are approximately 80 nucleotides in length. Their secondary structure includes four short double-helical elements and three loops (D, anti-codon, and T loops). The record is from Rfam by way of RNAcentral. Lineage: Eukaryota; Metazoa; Arthropoda; Insecta; Hemiptera; Psyllidae.